GAUGAACGCUGGCGGCGUGCCUAAUACAUGCAAGUCGAGCGAACAGACGAGGAGCUUGCUCCUCUGACGUUAGCGGCGGACGGGUGAGUAACACGUGGAUAAGCUACCUAUAAGACUGGGAUAACUUCGGGAAACCGGAGCUAAUACCGGAUAAUAUAUUGAACCGCAUGGUUCAAUAGUGAAAGACGGUUUUGCUGUCACUUAUAGAUGGAUCCGCGCCGCAUUAGCUAGUUGGUAAGGUAACGGCUUACCAAGGCAACGAUGCGUAGCCGACCUGAGAGGGUGAUCGGCCACACUGGAACUGAGACACGGUCCAGACUCCUACGGGAGGCAGCAGUAGGGAAUCUUCCGCAAUGGGCGAAAGCCUGACGGAGCAACGCCGCGUGAGUGAUGAAGGUCUUCGGAUCGUAAAACUCUGUUAUUAGGGAAGAACAAAUGUGUAAGUAACUAUGCACGUCUUGACGGUACCUAAUCAGAAAGCCACGGCUAACUACGUG
This 497-nucleotide ribosomal RNA is filed under the name uncultured bacterium. RNAcentral's name for it is "partial 16S ribosomal RNA". It matches the Rfam family "Bacterial small subunit ribosomal RNA", at positions 28 to 507 of the family's 1533-position model. The record is from RNAcentral.